This 227-nucleotide small nuclear RNA is filed under the name Fukomys damarensis (Damara mole-rat). Its description in RNAcentral is "U2 spliceosomal RNA". It matches the Rfam family "U2 spliceosomal RNA". Rfam says of the family: U2 is a small nuclear RNA (snRNA) component of the spliceosome (involved in pre-mRNA splicing). Lineage: Eukaryota; Metazoa; Chordata; Mammalia; Rodentia; Bathyergidae. The record is from Rfam by way of RNAcentral.
AUCGCUUCUCGGCCUUUUGGCUAAGAUCAAGUGUAGGAAAAUAGAAAAUUUCAUACGUAAGCAAAACAAUUUCUCCUAACCCUAUCUCACCAAAACAAAAACUUCUCACAUUUUUUCACAAGUAUUUCAAUUACGUGCCUCUAUUUAUCCUAGAGCUCUCUUGCAAAACAGGAACAGAUCCAAACUGAGAAAGAAUUGCUUUUCAGUUUUAGUGCAGUUGACGUUUA